Phodopus roborovskii (desert hamster) is the source of this 166-nucleotide long non-coding RNA. RefSeq lists it as uncharacterized. NCBI's taxonomy places the organism in Eukaryota, Metazoa, Chordata, Mammalia, Rodentia, Cricetidae. The record is from RefSeq and is a predicted model, not a curated record. The transcript is spliced from 2 exons.
GGCUGGUCCUCUAUCUUGUUACCUGGACAUUGAGUUUAAUAAUGGAAAUGCUGAUCUUGAGUGUUGUUCUGGUUUUAAGCCGAAUACUGUCUCAUUUAAAACUUGGUAAAAAUGAGAUGCAGAAAUACCUCAACAACUGAGUGAAAGCUAACAUCAAUAUUGAACC